CGAUGUCAACUCAUAACAUCCUAGGGUUGAAGAGGGUCCCAAGGGUUUGGUGUUCGCCGAUGAAAAGUAGUAUGUGAAUCAGCUUUAGAAUCUCGUGAGACGGUUU
Molecule: non-coding RNA, 106 nt
Organism: Triticum urartu
Lineage: Eukaryota; Viridiplantae; Streptophyta; Magnoliopsida; Poales; Poaceae
Source: Rfam